This 464-nucleotide ribosomal RNA is filed under the name Vreelandella stevensii. Its description in RNAcentral is "partial 16S ribosomal RNA". It matches the Rfam family "Bacterial small subunit ribosomal RNA", at positions 338 to 795 of the family's 1533-position model. The record is from RNAcentral. Lineage: Bacteria; Pseudomonadati; Pseudomonadota; Gammaproteobacteria; Oceanospirillales; Halomonadaceae.
CCUACGGGCGGCAGCAGUGGGGAAUAUUGGACAAUGGGCGAAAGCCUGAUCCAGCCAUGCCGCGUGUGUGAAGAAGGCCUUCGGGUUGUAAAGCACUUUCAGUGGGGAAGAAAGCCUUGGGGCUAAUACCCUCGAGGAAGGACAUCACCCACAGAAGAAGCACCGGCUAACUCCGUGCCAGCAGCCGCGGUAAUACGGAGGGUGCGAGCGUUAAUCGGAAUUACUGGGCGUAAAGCGCGCGUAGGCGGUCUGAUAAGCCGGUUGUGAAAGCCCCGGGCUCAACCUGGGAACGGCAUCCGGAACUGUCAGGCUAGAGUGCAGGAGAGGAAGGUAGAAUUCCCGGUGUAGCGGUGAAAUGCGUAGAGAUCGGGAGGAAUACCAGUGGCGAAGGCGGCCUUCUGGACUGACACUGAUGCUGAGGUGCGAAAGCGUGGGUAGCAAACAGGAUUAGAUACCCGGUAGUC